GAAUUUAAUAUAAUUAAUUAUGAAAAUUUAUAGAAUUAAUAUAAAUUAGUGGUAUUUAGUUGGGAGGAUUGUGAAAUUUAAUAAACUUUAAAUAAAAAUUAAGUUAUAAAUUAGUAUAAAAAAUUUUUUGAGUGAUUAUUAAAUUAAUUUAGAAUUAAUUACCUUAGGGAUAACAGCGUAAUAUUUUUAUGAAGAUCUUAUUGAUAAAAAUGAUUGC
This 217-nucleotide ribosomal RNA is filed under the name Strumigenys denticulata. Its description in RNAcentral is "partial large subunit ribosomal RNA". The record is from RNAcentral. Lineage: Eukaryota; Metazoa; Arthropoda; Insecta; Hymenoptera; Formicidae.